UACGGGGGGGGUAAGCGUUGUUCGGAAUUACUGGGCGUAAAGGGCUCGUAGGCGGCCAACUAAGUCAUACGUGAAAUCCCUCAGCUUAACUGGGGAACUGCGUGUGAUACUGGAUGGCUUGGAUUUGGGAGAGGGAUGCGGAAUUCCCGGUGUAGAGGUGAAAUUCGUAGAUAUCGGGAGGAACACCGGUGGCGAAGGCGACAUCCUGGACCAACACUGACGCUGAGGAGCGAAAGCCAGGGGAGCAAACGGG
Molecule: ribosomal RNA, 253 nt
Filed under: uncultured bacterium
Lineage: Bacteria
Description: partial 16S ribosomal RNA
Rfam family: Bacterial small subunit ribosomal RNA
Source: RNAcentral